RNAcentral lists this small nucleolar RNA (109 nucleotides) under Amborella trichopoda. RNAcentral's name for it is "Small nucleolar RNA snoR99". It matches the Rfam family "Small nucleolar RNA snoR99". Lineage: Eukaryota; Viridiplantae; Streptophyta; Magnoliopsida; Amborellales; Amborellaceae. The record is from Rfam by way of RNAcentral.
UUGCCUCAGGGAUGAACCGGUCCCUGAUAUUUAAUCAAUGAUCCCAUUAGCUUCACUUUGUCAGCGAAGCUCAUUUUAUCUUCGCUGAUCAUUCAAAAUGGGAAUAUCC